AUUUGGCUAACUGGAAUCAUGAGUGUGUCACUUGUGAUAAGGUAAAGGAAAAAUGAUGAUGUCACUUUACUAKUAGUGUUGUCCAAAGCUGGUGCCAGAAGACUCGGUAAUGCCAGAGACGCAAGCGUUAGUCAUCCUGAUCAGGCGUAAAGGGUUUGUAGGCAGCUUUAAAUUAAUUAAAGAUAGAAUCAUAUAGAGGUCACUUUCAGAUAAUUCUUAGAGUAGGGUUGAUAUCUGUAGAUACUAAGAGGAAUACUAAUUAGCGAAGGCACUUUUCCAAAUAAUGAUUGACGCUGAUAAACGAAGGGGAGGAUAGACAAUAGGAUUAGAUACCCUGGYAUCCCUCUCUGUCAACGAUGAAUGGUAGUUGCUAGUAUAAAUUAUUAGUGGCGAUGCUAACGCGUUAACCAUUCCGCCUUGUGAGUACGACUGCAAAGUUGAAAACAAAAAAAUUAGUCGGUUUCGGAGCAAACGAAGUGAAGCAUGUUAUUUAAUUC
Molecule: ribosomal RNA, 497 nt
Filed under: Mutinus bambusinus
Lineage: Eukaryota; Fungi; Basidiomycota; Agaricomycetes; Phallales; Phallaceae
Description: SSU rRNA
Source: RNAcentral